Molecule: long non-coding RNA, 399 nt
Organism: Saccostrea cuccullata (small rock oyster)
Lineage: Eukaryota; Metazoa; Mollusca; Bivalvia; Ostreida; Ostreidae
Exons: 4
Source: RefSeq, a predicted model, not a curated record
AAAUAUUCUUUCGCUUGUUUGUUUAUUCCUGUACAUACCCCUUGUUGGAAAACUCAAAGAUUCAUCUUUGGUUUUUCUUCAUUGAAGAUUUUUCCUAAAGACACUGAAAAAAAAAGAAAAAAAGAAAAAAAAGAUUUAUUCAGUUGAGCUUUUAAGGUGCAGUAUUGGCUGGAUGGUUGUGAGAAGGACGAUGAUGUUUACGAAUUAACAGAACAGGAAUUUCAGACAGAUUUGAAGGACGGAAAUUUGUUUAUCCUCAACAGUACACAGUUGGAUCACUGCUACACAAUUUUUUGAAAAAGACUAUAAGGUUUAUUGAGUUUGUUAGAGUUAUCUUCUUUAAAAAUGAUUAUCUUUCUUUGAAAUUAUAGUCUUAUAUUUUAAAUUGGAUUACCUCCC